AUGAACGCUGGCGGCGUGCCUAAUACAUGCCCGUCGAGCGAACAGACGAGGAGCUUGCUCCUCUGACGUUAGCGGCGGACGGGUGAGUAACACGUGGAUAACCUACCUAUAAGACUGGGAUAACUUCGGGAAACCGGAGCUAAUACCGGAUAAUAUAUUGAACCGCAUGGUUCAAUAGUGAAAGACGGUUUUGCUGUCACUUAUAGUUGGAUCCGCGCCGCAUUAGCUAGUUGGUAAGGUAACGGCUUACCAAGGCAACGAUGCGUAGCCGACCUGAGAGGGUGAUCGGCCACACUGGAACUGAGACACGGUCCAGACUCCUACGGGAGGCAGCAGUAGGGAAUCUUCCGCAAUGGGCGAAAGCCUGACGGAGCAACGCCGCGUGAGUGAUGAAGGUCUUCGGAUCGUAAAACUCUGUUAUUAGGGAAGAACAAAUGUGUAAGUAACUAUGCACGUCUUGACGGUACCUAAUCAGAAAGCCACGGCUAACUACGUG
Molecule: ribosomal RNA, 496 nt
Filed under: uncultured bacterium
Lineage: Bacteria
Description: partial 16S ribosomal RNA
Rfam family: Bacterial small subunit ribosomal RNA
Source: RNAcentral